GAUGAACGCUGGCGGCGUGCCUAAUACAUGCAAGUCGAGCGAACAGACGAGGAGCUUGCUCCUCUGACGUUAGCGGCGGACGGGUGAGUAACACGUGGAUAACCUACCUAUAAGACUGGGAUAACUUCGGGAAACCGGAGCUAAUACCGGAUAAUAUAUUGAACCGCAUGGUUCAAUAGUGAAAGACGGUUUUGCUGUCACUUAUAGAUGAAUCCGCGCCGCAUUAGCUAGUUGUUAAGGUAACGGCUUACCAAGGCAACGAUGCUUAGCCGACCUGAGAGGGUGAUCGGCCAAACUGGAACUGGGACACGGUCCAGACUCCUACGGGAGGCAGCAGUAGGGAAUCUUCCGCAAUGGGCGAAAGCCUGACGGAGCAACGCCGCGUGAGUGAUGAAGGUCUUCGGAUCGUAAAACUCUGUUAUUAGGGAAGAACAAAUGUGUAAGUAACUAUGCACGUCUUGACGGUACCUAAUCAGAAAGCCACGGCUAACUACGUG
RNAcentral lists this ribosomal RNA (497 nucleotides) under uncultured bacterium. RNAcentral describes it as "partial 16S ribosomal RNA". It matches the Rfam family "Bacterial small subunit ribosomal RNA", at positions 28 to 507 of the family's 1533-position model. The record is from RNAcentral.